RNAcentral lists this ribosomal RNA (460 nucleotides) under uncultured bacterium. RNAcentral describes it as "partial 16S ribosomal RNA". It matches the Rfam family "Bacterial small subunit ribosomal RNA", at positions 338 to 795 of the family's 1533-position model. The record is from RNAcentral.
CCUACGGGCGGCAGCAGUGAGGAAUAUUGGUCAAUGGACGAGAGUCUGAACCAGCCAAGUAGCGUGAAGGAUGACUGCCCUAUGGGUUGUAAACUUCUUUUAUAAAGGAAUAAAACGAGGCACGUGUGCCGUUUUGCAUGUACUUUAUGAAUAAGGAUCGGCUAACUCCGUGCCAGCAGCCGCGGUAAUACGGAGGAUCCGAGCGUUAUCCGGAUUUAUUGGGUUUAAAGGGAGCGUAGAUGGGUUGUUAAGUCAGUUGUGAAAGUUUGCGGCUCAACCGUAAAAUUGCAAUUGAUACUGGCAGUCUUGAGUACAGUUGAGGUAGGCGGAAUUCGUGGUGUAGCGGUGAAAUGCUUAGAUAUCACGAAGAACCCCGAUGGCGAAGGCAGCUUACUAAACUGUGACUGACAUUGAUGCUCGAAAGUGUGGGUAUCAAACAGGAUUAGAUACCCCUGUAGUC